GAUGAAGAACGUAGCGAAAUGCGAUAAGUAAUGUGAAUUGCAGAAUUCAGUGAAUCAUCGAAUCUUUGAACGCACAUUGCGCCCCUUGGUAUUCCAUGGGGCAUGCCUGUUCGAGCGUCAUUUGUACCUUCAAGCUCUGCUUGGUGUUGGGUGUUUGUCCUUGCUCUAGUGGCGGGACUCGCCUUAAAGUAAUUGGCAGCCAGUGUUUUGGUUUUGAAGCGCAGCACAAGUCGCGAUUCAAGUCUAUACGCUAGUUUCCACAAGUCUUUUAUCACUUUUGACCUCGGAUCAGGUAGGGAUACCCGCUGAACUUAAGCAUAUCAAUAAGCGGAGGA
This 335-nucleotide unclassified non-coding RNA is filed under the name soil metagenome. RNAcentral describes it as "partial contains 5.8S ribosomal RNA, internal transcribed spacer 2, and large subunit ribosomal RNA". The stretch from base 1 to 120 matches the Rfam family "5.8S ribosomal RNA", at positions 35 to 154 of the family's 154-position model. The record is from RNAcentral.